Molecule: long non-coding RNA, 2985 nt
Organism: Dreissena polymorpha
Lineage: Eukaryota; Metazoa; Mollusca; Bivalvia; Myida; Dreissenidae
Exons: 5
Source: RefSeq, a predicted model, not a curated record
CGCCUGCAGGAGCCCCAGUCCAGAACAACCCUUCCCCUCCACUGACUUCUAACUCCUCCGCCUUGACUUCCUGACUCAAAAAGUCAGCAUCAUUGAACAACUCUGUUCUGCAGCAAAUUCUGAGCAUGAUUCUGUUCUGAACAAACGCAAUGCCCAUGUCAAGUUGUCCACAUAUAAGCCUGGGUAGUUUUGUUAAGCUAGAGUUCCGCGUGGGCCUGAGAGGGAUGAGUUUUACAGACACGAAAAGUUAUGGCAGUAGUUAUGGUAACGCUAACAGUCAGUUGUUGCUGUUGGACAUCACAACAAAUAUCAUGAAGAAUAAAAAGUUUAAUAACUUGUUCCAAUCUUUAUGGGACAAACAGAAAUUGAACGAGAGAAAAUCAAGGAACAAUAAAAGCGUAAGCUUUCCUAGAAUGAUACUUCUGCUGUUGAUAGUUUGGCGACAGUAGGGUUAUGGACUGCCCCAGAUUGUCCUCUCAGCGGCCAAAAUAUCAUAAUAGAAUGGACUUUUGGCAAUGUUACUGACAAAGAAAGGCAGUAAUGACUUGGUUGUGAAUACCCAGAGCACUAUACAUCCAUGCUGACACAGAAAGGAAGUAAUGACUUGGUUGUGAAAACCCAGAGCACGCUACAUCCAUGCUGACAAAGAAAGGCAGUAAUGACUUGGUUGUGAACACCUCGAGCACGAUACAUCCAUGCUGACAAAGAAAGGCAGUAAUGACUUGGUUGUGAACACCUAGAGCAUGAUACAUCCAUGCUGACAAAGAAAGACGAUAAUGACUUGGUUGUGAACACCCAGAGCACGAUACAUCCAUGCUGACAUAGAAAGGCAAUAAUGACUUGGUUGUGAAAUCCCAGAGCACUAUACAUCCAUGAGGUGUGCAUCAGAAGCGAAUUCUGCAUAUUAUUGUAAACAAGUUGCUAACAGUGAACACGUCUGGUUUUGUUAUGAGAACUUCCCACUCAGAGCCCAAAGGUCCUCGCAUUGAAUCGAUGCAAAUGAAGACUUUGAAAAAUGACAGCAGUUGUGUUGUGAUGUCCAGUAAUCCUUUCAACUCUCAACCUGAAGUUUAUCAAAACUCAAUCUUAGCCCUCUGCAGUACUUUACCAUGAAUGUUUCACGUUUUAAAACACCAACAUUUCAAUUUAAAGUUUGUGCGCGUAAUAUAUUGAUACAUUGCUAUUCUGAGUUCUAAUUGCGAUAUCCUAAAUAUCAAUAAUAGGUGAAAUGUUUGGCAUUAAAAAACAGGUGUGUAAAGUAAUUUGUAACAGUGCAUAUUCAUUUGUCACUAAAAAAAUCAGGGUUUAGUUUGCUUGUCAUUUCCUUUUUAGCAAACAUUAUUAGACAACAAAAGGAACGUCGUUUAAGUGACAGUCCAAGACAAUUCCGACCCAGUUUGGGCACAAAUACUUCUAAUUAAAGAAAUUCAGUUUGUCUUGCGUCAGCCUACAUGUAGCAAGCCUCUUAUAAACAUCUCCCAAGUUGGCUACAUCAACGCUUCCAACAGCGGAGCUGGGCAUCAACACAUUGUUCCGAACGAGUCGCUCGAACUAAAGCGAUCUGAUCCAACAGAGAGCAGGCUCUGCGUGACUCGUCUGUUAAUGUGAUUGACCUCGAUAUGUUGCUUUCCAAUAAUGUGAGCCUAACUCCAGAUUAGCUGUCUGCGAUUGAAGCAAUUCAACAACAGUUGUUGUCAGGAAUUUCCGGCUUUAGGAUGGCGAUUUGGCGUCGGGGCUUCAUCUCUGUCUUUGGCCUGGUUGCAGCAGAAGCAGCAACAAGAACAACAAUUAGUAUUAGAGACGUGAUCUGGGAUAUGGGGCUUCAUAGCCUGUUCCUACAGGAACCCAUGCAAUCAUAGAUCGGUACCUAGCUGAACAACAGGGAGGAGCCACACUGAACCUGGGGCUCCAUACUUUCUUGGCCAGGGGUCAAGAUAACCUCGUCAAUAAGGGACACAUUCCUGGGAUGCCCUACGGUCUUUCUAUCUGUUCACAGAGGUCUUAUACUCACAAGUUCAAGCCCAGUGAGCGAUGUUCACAUUAUCAAACUCUGCAUCUCAAUAGAAACCCUGAUAUCAAAGCGUUGAGCUUUUUUUGAAGCAUUUGCACCAGCAACAGUCAUCAUCUCGAGUUACUGGCAUCUCUAUGGUGUGGAACCCUCCGUCUUUGAACAUCAUAACAGCACAUGAACCAGUGGCACUCAUCAUCUCAAGAUUCUGGUAUAUCCAUGGUGCAGGACCCUCGGUCUGCAAAGAUCAUGCAGAGCGAACCUCAGAUGCCAUUAGAUGUAAUCAAACCAUCCAAUCAGAAACACAGCCUGUUGCAGCAGUUGUUACCAUUUUGACCCCAGUCAAACCUAAGAAGCACUUACUGGUUGAAUUUUAUGAUGGGUGAAAAUGAAUGACCUUGUUCAGUUCGAAAUGGCAAAAUGACAGAUUACAACAAUUCAAGUGGAAAGCCAGAAAGUCAUGUCAACAGUCACAUUUUGUAUGUGUAACAGCCAAGUUGUUUUCAAAGAAAAACAAUAGUUUAUGUUUUAUUUUUUAUGUGACCAAUGUUUCAUGCGCUGUCAGUCUCUUUAUGUUGAAAGUUUUGGUUAAACAUGAUAGCAUGUUAAGUUUUUUUAAAGCACACAUAUUGCAUUUAUAUCCAAUGUCUUUGUCUGUAUAAUGAAUUUUUCACUACUUAUUUUGAUCCUUAUAAUGGUAAAUGUAUGGGAAAAACAAUUUUAUCAAAGAUAUUCUAAGAUUGUCAAUAUAAAGAAGUGAAACUCCAGCUGCUGGAGCAGUAUUGAAUUUUCAUUAAAAACAAUUAGUAGGUCCUUUAUUUAAGGCAAGUGACCGAUUGCCCAAACAGUACAAAACAGCACAAUACAGCACAAUACAAACCAACAUAAACACAAAAUAUGAAUAAAGCUGUGGUCACCAGUCUGUUUAAAUGAUGCUGGUAACUUUGACAAGAUUGAAAAGAAUGAGUAUUUUCAUG